Long non-coding RNA from Malaya genurostris, 616 nucleotides. RefSeq lists it as uncharacterized. NCBI's taxonomy places the organism in Eukaryota, Metazoa, Arthropoda, Insecta, Diptera, Culicidae. The record is from RefSeq and is a predicted model, not a curated record. The transcript is spliced from 2 exons.
GCCAACGUGCAAUUUUUUCAGUGUACCUGUGGGUGAGAGUGAGCCAGAAUUGUCAUGUUGUUCAAAAAUCCGUCUCUGACUUGAAAUUUAUCUGGGUGUCUGGGAUUUGCCAAAUACAUCUGGAAACCUGGCAACGCUGAUGUGAGCUGUCAGAAAUCCCUUUUUCAUUUCCCUCUUUCUUUUUUGCUUUUUUUCUUCGUUGCCUCCAUUUCAAUUGUUUGAUGCGCUUUCAAAAUAGGAUAGAAAGAUUUGAGUAGUGAACGUGAAGAAUAUUUUGACUAAGUGACAGGUUACAACUGAUGUGUAAUUAGACGUAAAGAGAAAUCAAGCCAAGAAGCCACAGUUGCUGUUCCCUUUCCUGCAGCUACUCGUAGCAAUCGCAUUUCUAGUGGCCUUCAAUUUGCCUCAAACUUGUUGAUAGGUUAUCAUGGAACAUAUUUUUGAUGCAGACGGCAACAUAUACUGGGUACAAUGUAUCCCUGGUGAUGGAGAUUGCCUGUACGGCUCUCUUGUCCAUCAAAUCUAUGGAGUUUCGCCGGACAAUACCUUAUUCAAACGCUAUAUUGUUCAGUUGAGAGAGUCAGUUGUUUCUGAAAUAAAACGGAAUUUACAUCUA